This 407-nucleotide ribosomal RNA is filed under the name uncultured bacterium. RNAcentral describes it as "partial 16S ribosomal RNA". It matches the Rfam family "Bacterial small subunit ribosomal RNA", at positions 30 to 526 of the family's 1533-position model. The record is from RNAcentral.
AUUGAACGCUAGCGGGAUGCCUUACACAUGCAAGUCGAACGGAGUGGCGAACGGGUGAGUAAUGUAUCGGAACGUGCCCAGUAGCGGGGGAUAACUACGCGAAAGCGUAGCUAAUACCGCAUACUAUUGGAGCGGCCGAUAUCGGAUUAGUUAGUUGGGGGGGUAACGGCCCACCAAGGCGACGAUCCGUACCUGGUUUGAGAGGACGACCAGCCACACGUGGACGGAUGCACGGCCCAGACACCAACGGGAGGCAGCAGUUGGGAAUUUGGAACAAGGGUGGAAACCCUGACCCAGCCAUCCCGCGUGUGCGAUGAAGGCCUUCGGGUUUGAAAGCACUUUUGGCAGGAAAGCGGUACCUGCAGAAUAAGCACCGGCUAACUACGUGCCAGCCGCCGCGGUAAUAC